RNAcentral lists this ribosomal RNA (492 nucleotides) under uncultured bacterium. RNAcentral's name for it is "partial 16S ribosomal RNA". It matches the Rfam family "Bacterial small subunit ribosomal RNA", at positions 29 to 507 of the family's 1533-position model. The record is from RNAcentral.
AGUGAACGCUGGCGGUAGGCCUAACACAUGCAAGUCGAACGGCAGCACAGUAAGAGCUUGCUCUUACGGGUGGCGAGUGGCGGACGGGUGAGGAAUACAUCGGAAUCUACUUUUUCGUGGGGGAUAACGUAGGGAAACUUACGCUAAUACCGCAUACGACCUACGGGUGAAAGCAUGGGAUCUUCGGACCUUGCGCGAUUGAAUGCGCCGAUGUCGGAUUAGCUAGUUGGCGGGGUAAAGGCCCACCAAGGCGACGAUCCGUAGCUGGUCUGAGAGGAUGGUCAGCCACACUGGAGCUGAGACACGGUCCAGAGUCCUACGGGAGGCAGCAGAGGGGAAUAUUGGACAAUGGGCGCAAGCCUGAUCCAGCCAUACCGCGUGGGUGAAGGAGGCCUUCGGGUUGUAAAGCCCUUUUGUUGGGAAAGAAAAGCAGCAGGUUAAUACCCCGCUGUUCUGACGGUACCCAAAGAAUAAGCACCGGCUAACUUCGUG